Molecule: ribosomal RNA, 578 nt
Filed under: Mycobacterium sp. HRRP185
Lineage: Bacteria; Bacillati; Actinomycetota; Actinomycetes; Mycobacteriales; Mycobacteriaceae
Description: bacterial SSU rRNA
Rfam family: Bacterial small subunit ribosomal RNA
Source: RNAcentral
ACGGGUGAGUAACACGUGGGUGAUCUGCCCUGCACUUCGGGAUAAGCCUGGGAAACUGGGUCUAAUACCGGAUAUGACCGCAUGCUUCAUGGUGUGUGGUGGAAAGCUUUUGCGGUGUGGGAUGGGCCCGCGGCCUAUCAGCUUGUUGGUGGGGUAAUGGCCUACCAAGGCGACGACGGGUAGCCGGCCUGAGAGGGUGACCGGCCACACUGGGACUGAGAUACGGCCCAGACUCCUACGGGAGGCAGCAGUGGGGAAUAUUGCACAAUGGGCGCAAGCCUGAUGCAGCGACGCCGCGUGAGGGAUGACGGCCUUCGGGUUGUAAACCUCUUUCAGUAGGGACGAAGCGCAAGUGACGGUACCUAUAGAAGAAGGACCGGCCAACUACGUGCCAGCAGCCGCGGUAAUACGUAGGGUCCGAGCGUUGUCCGGAAUUACUGGGCGUAAAGAGCUCGUAGGUGGUUUGUCGCGUUGUUCGUGAAAACUCACAGCUCAACUGUGGGCGUGCGGGCGAUACGGGCAGACUAGAGUACUGCAGGGGAGACUGGAAUUCCUGGUGUAGCGGUGGAAUGCGCAGA